GUGCAUGCAUGACUGUUACAGCUAUAUUCUGCAUGCUGGAAUAUGGGUUCACAGUCAUGCUAGAAAAAACUUAGUCAACAGGGCCACCAGUCUUUGAAGCACAGACUGUGUUGGUAGUAUAAAACUCAUACAUUG
Molecule: small nucleolar RNA, 135 nt
Organism: Pygocentrus nattereri (red-bellied piranha)
Lineage: Eukaryota; Metazoa; Chordata; Actinopteri; Characiformes; Serrasalmidae
Product: Small nucleolar RNA U109
Source: Ensembl